CAGAUAUUACCUCCCUGUAGUUCAUGGAAUAGCUAGCUGUUGUGGGAUUAGAAGGAGGUUCUGAGCCCCUUUCCAAGCCCAAACAAAGGUCCCAAGCUCUACUACAUGGGAGAUAGUAAGGGUAAUACCUGGUGCAAAACAAAGAGGUUAGAAUACUUGUCCAAGCAUACAGUGAGAUCCUGAAGCCCAUAUCAAGGCAUUCCACAUGACUUGGCUUAUGUAAGCAAGUUAGAAGUUAAUAGCUUCAUGACAUAACAAGAAACAAUAAUAAAAAAGCAAGAGAAUGAAAAAAAGGAAGAAAACGUGAAAUAUUUAAUUGAUGAAACAAGUAACCUGGAAAAUAAAUCCUAGAGAGAUAAUAUAAGAAUUAUUAGAUUACCAAAAAUAAUAAUACAAGAAAUAAAUUAAAAGAAAAACUUUUGUGGUAUCCUUGAACAAGAGAGAAAAUAGAAAUUGAAAUAAUCCACAGUUAUAUCCAGAAAUAAUUCAGAAAUUACAACCUCCAGGAAUGUUAUAGCUAAAUUCAAGAGCUCCAAAUCCAAGAAAAAUACUGCAAAUAGCUCAAAAAAAACAAUUCAGAAACCAUGGAGCUAUAGUCAGGAUUACACAGGAAUUAGUAUCCUUUGUUAUUAAAGAACAGAAGGGCUCGAAUCUAAUAUUCUGGAAGGCAAAAGAUCUAUGUUUAUAUCCCAGUAUCGUCUAUCCAGCAAAACUGAAUAUAUACUUUUGGGAGGUAGUGAAAUAGAGGAUUUUUAAGUAUUCUUGUUGAAAAGACCAGAUCCAAAUAGAAAAUUGAUGCUGAAGCCCAAGACCUUAGAAAGAAGCCUAAAAACAUGAAUAAAAUAGAGAAAAGUUAAGGAAUUCAAUAAUAUCAAACUGUAUGUUUUCCUACAUGGAAAGAUGUUAUUUGUAAUUCUUAAAAUUUUUUAUUAGUAGUAGAUCAGAUAGAAAGUAUAUACAUAGAAAUAAUGUUAGAAGUAAGCUUAUUAGAAUGCUAUGAAAUGCAAAAAAAAUCAAGGUGGCAAAAAAUAUUACAGAAAGAAUAAUGGAAAGGGAGCUGUGGAUUGGGGUAAAUUAUUUCACCUAAAGAGGUGUGAAAAAUGGACAGUGGAGGGUGAUAGAGGUUUCAAACCCUAGAACUGAAGUUACAGUCUGGGAAAUUGGUGAAUUUUCAGCCCCAGCAGGGGAGUGGCCCCAGGAGAUAUUCUGGAAUCUUGGGAGAGCAAGAGUUUCUGCCAGCAAGAGGAAGUUAAUCCUCAAUCCUGAGACAGUCUAAGGAGAGGGCUGGUAAAGACUUUGCUCCUGAGGAAAGAUUUACAUCCUUUUCCUGGUGAUUUUGACACCUUUCCCCCCACCAAUUUCCAACUGAGGGGGCCAUUGAAGAAGACAGUCAAGCAGCUGAGAAGAUCACCUCACAGCUCUUGAUGCCCUGGGUCUGAACUGUGCCUGUAGACCAAGACCAAAGCCAUCCAAGCCUGAAUCUCUAUAAGGUAAGUCUACACAAAUCAUCAGCUUUUUAAUAUAUUUCCAAUAAAGUUCGGCAGCAAGAGAUUGAAAGAGAAAUUCUUUUCAAAAUGACUCUAGAUGCUAUAAAAUACCUGGGAAUGUAUUCUUGUUCUAAGACAUGUAUCCAUCUAAGACAAAUCCAGGAAUUUUGUGAACACAGAGACAAAAUACUUAUCAGAUAAAGUCACAUCCAAACAAUUGGAAAAAAUUAAUUGCUCAUGGGUAGGUUCCACUAGUGUAAUAAAAGUGACAAUUCUACCUAAGAUAAUUUACUUGUUAAUGCCAUAAAACUGUCAAACAAUCAUUUAAUAGAAUAAGAAAAAUAACAAAAUUAAUAUGGAAUAACAAAAGGUCAAGAAUGUUGAGGGAAUUAUUUUUAAACAUGCAUAGUAUGAUGGACUGGUCAUACCAGAUCUUAAACUGUACUAUAAAGUAGUAAUCAUCAAAAGAGUCUGGUUUUGGCUAAGAAAUAGAAUGGCAGAUCAAUGGAAUGUAUUAGAUACAAAAUAUAAAGGAUAAAUGAACUUAGAUAAACCCAAAGACUCAAGAUUUUGUAAUGAGAAAUUACCUUUUAACAAAACUUGUAGGAAAAUGGAAAAACAGUAAGACAGAACGUAGGCAUGAACCAAUGUCUCCCACAGUAUACUAAGAUGAAGUCAAAAUGGGUAUAUGAUUUAGCUAUAAGUUAGGGGGUCAAAGAAUAAUUUAUCUGUCAAAUAUUUAGAGAAGGGAAGAAUUUAUGUCCAAACAAGAGAUAAAGAGCAGGAUAUGAUAUAAAAUUAAUAAUUUUGAUUAUAUUAAAUUAAAAUGCUUUUAAAUUUAAAAGUUUUAAACAAAACUAAUAUAAACAAGAGGAAAAGUGGAAUGACAAACUUGGGGGAAAAAUCGUACAACAAAUUUCUCUGAUAAAGGUCUGAAAUCUCAUAUCUAUAGGAAAUGAAGUUAAAUUUAUAAAAUUACAAGGCAUUUCCCAAUUGACCAAUGGUCAAAGGAACACAUAAAAAUGUGCUAAAAAUUCCUGUUUGGAGAAAUGCCAAAUAAAACAAAAUUGUGAUACUACUUUAACCUUAUCAGACUUGCCAAUAUAACAGUAAAUGGCAAUAACAAAUGUUGCAAGGGAUAUGGAAAAAUUGGGACACAUGCAUUUUGUUCGAAUUGUGAAAUGAUCCAACAAUUCUGAAGGAAAAUUUACAACUAUAUCAAAAAGGUUAUAAAAGUUUGCACACCCUUUGAUCUUGUAAUACCACUAUUAGGCAUAUAUUCCAAAGAGAUAAUAAAAAUGAGGAAAUAUAUUUAUAUUUGCUCUUUUUGUGGUUUCAAAGAUUUGGAAAUUGAGAUGUCCCUCAAAAGGGGAACAGCUGAACAAAUGAUGGUACAGAUUAGUAUUGAAAUACUAUUAUGCCAUAAAAAAUGAUAGGCAAGAAGAUUUCAGAAAAGGCUAGGAAGAGCUGCUAGGAAGAGCUAAAUGAUCUGAUUUAGAGUGAAAUAAGUAGAGCCAGGAGUAUAUACACAGUGUUAUAAUUAAAAUGGUUGAGGUUGUAAACUGUGGCAGUUAAAAGAGUUGGGGUCAUAAACUGUAGUGAGUAAAAGAGUGGAUGAGUAAAUUGUGACCCCAGAAAAUAUAUUUUCACUACAGUGUCUUGUUUCAAAUCAAAUAUAAGGUGGUCUCCAGGGAAAUAUUCCCAAUUAUGAAUAUACCCAAGUCAACUGGGUUUUAUAGAGAAUUUAAUUAAUACGAAUGAGGAAUUAAAGAAAGGAAGAGAAAGGAAGAAAAAGGAAAUAAGUAUGAAGGGCCUCAAGCCAACAUGGCCUAGACCUGAGUCUUAAGAGAGAAAGAUCAGUGAGUCAGUCUUUUAUCACUCACCACAAGGUCUGUCUAAGCAAGGAUUCUAGUGACAGAGUCUCCUCAGAGAGAGUUCCAGCCAGAGUCCUUCUCAAAGAGCCUUCCAGCCAGAGACUGUUUCAAAGGGCCUCUCUCAAGAGCCUCCAGAGGGACAGAGUCCCCUCAGAGGAGCUCCAGUGAGACCUCCUUAGAGAUUGUCCUCCAAGAGCUUCCCUUCUCCAGAGCCUCUCUCAAGAGAGAUUCUCCAAAAGGAUCCCCAUAAGAGCUCCCUUCUCAAGCGAAUCUCUUUCUUAUAUAGGGGGUUUUCUCCUAGUCACCUCCCCUAAGUUCUUCCAUCUACCAAUCGCUGUAGACUUUUUCCAAAGGACAACACAUUCUAAAAACAAUGCUGAGUCGACUAAUCCCUUUAGGAGAAAACCUCUAAGUCUGAACCAGAGAAAAAACAGCUGAGUCGACUAAUCCCUUCAGUAAAUCUGAACCAGAGAAAACACAGCUGAGUCGACUAAUCCCCUCAAGAGAAAACCUCUGAAUAAGUUUUCACCUCAUUGUUUAGCAAGGAGUUUUCUCCCCUAAAGCAGUCUUAAGUACGGGUGGAGUAGAGGUCCUCCCAUUUCUGAUCCUGGCGAGUUCUCACAGUCAAAAUGGGGAAUGCUCCUAGUAGGGGAUUGUUUCAAUUGAGAAUUCCCCAAUGGGGAAAUUUUUAACAUUCACAAGUCUGAGAAAUUUCAAGAUUUACAACAGUAACAGAAAUAUUAUACAAUGAUCAACUGGGAAAACUUGGCUACUAUCAGGAAUGCAAUGCCUGGGAAAAUCCUGAAACACUAUGAUAGAAAAUGCUAUUCAAUAAAAGAGAAAGAACUGUUGGAGUGGGAUAGAUGCAGGUCAAAGGAUAUUGUCUUUCAUAUCAGAGUAUUUAUGAAUUGAUUUGGGGGUUUUGUUUAGAGGAUAGAGCUUUGAUCUUGGACUUAAGAAGAUGUAGAUUUAAAUCCUGCAGCUAAAAUUUACUUGCUAUGUGACCUUAUAAAAUUCACUUGACUUUGGUUACAUCAUUUGUCAAAUGACAGAGGGCCUUGAAGUUUCUUUGCUGACCUUACUCUGCACUCUCCAGUCAUAACAGGGAGGAACACUCUGGCUAAAAUGUAGGAUAACAGAAGAUGAUCUGUCACAGGUAAAACUGGAAAGUUUGGGUGGAAGGACAUCAAUUAUGUGGCCAAGAAUCAAGGACACUCAAAAUGUUGAAACUAGAAGAACCAUUCAACUAUCAUCAACUGGACCCUUUCUACUCUUGGUAAUUCUUCUACUCCACCCUUAAUGCUUCCCUAUCAAAGUCUUGACAGUGACUUUCAAAUCAAAAAAUUUUAGUGGAAAAUCAAAAGAAUACAGUGAAAAACCAAUUUUUAAGAUCUGAAUUGGGCAAUUAGAAGCUGAUGAUUUCACAAAACAGCAAAAAUUAAUAAAGCAAAAUCAAAAGAUUGACAAAAUAGAAAGAAACAUGAAAUAUCUCAUUGAGAAGAUGACUGCCCAAGAAAACAGGUCAAUAAGAGACAAUUUGAGAAUAAUUAGUCUUCCUGAAAACCCAGAAAUAAGCAGAAACAUUGAUAUCAUACCACAAGAAAUUAUCUAAGAAAACUGUCCUGAUGUUCUUGAACAAGAAGGCAAAAUAGACCUUGAAAGAGUUCAAAACUCUACACCAAAUCCUCAAAAGACAACUCCCAGGAAUGUAAUUACGAAAUUCAAGAGCUUCCAAGCUAAGGAGAAAAUUUUACAAGAAGCCAAAAAGAGACAAUUCAGACAUCAAGGAACACCAAUCAGGAUUAUACAAGAUCUGGCAGCUUCCACACUAAGGACUACAAGCCUUGGAUAUGAUAUUUAGAAAGGCAAGACAAUUGGGUCUUCAACGAAGGAUAACCUACCCAUCAAAAUUGAAUACAUAUUUCCAGGGGAAAGUUUGAGCUUUCAACAAAAUAGAAGAUUUUCAAGUAUUUGUAAAGAAAAGCCCAGAACUACGUAGAAAGUUUGAUAUCCAAACAGAAAGAUGAAGAGAAAUAUGAAAAGGUAAAUGAAGAAAGAGAGAAGAAAGGGGGCAAAUGUUUUUCUUUAUUUAAGUUUUCUCAUUUAAUGGCUUCAAUAAGAUCAAAUUUUUCAUAUUAACAUAUGGGAAAAAAGUUAUUUGUAACACUCAAAAAUUAUAUUCACUGUUAUAGUAAUUAGAUAAAUCAUUCAUUGGUAAAGAUUGGGGUAAUAAGUGACCUAAGAUGAUAUGCAAAAAAGAAAAAGAAAAAGAGAAAAAGGGGAGUAAGGAAUAGAAGAUGGCACCAAGUGAAACUUGAAGGAAUAAAAUAAAAAGGAUAAUCUAUGCCACACAAGGAGAAACAUGGGAAGGGGAGGGGAAGAAUAAUAUUAUAAGAAGGAGAGGAAGAGAGUGCUAAGAGAAAAUACUUAAAACUUACUCUCAGUGAAAUCAAUUCUGGGAGGGAAGAGCAUCUAGAUUCAUUGGGUUAUAAAAUUCAAUCCCACCCUAUAGGGAAGGUGAGAAGGCAAAAACUAAAGGGUAGAGGUGGGGCAGGGAGCACAAAAAACGAGGGAAAGAGAUGGGGGAGGGCAUGUAAUAGACACUAAAAUAGACACAUUUCUGAAAGGCAGCAGUUGUACCAAAAGGCUUCUGAGGUCCCUGCCAGCUCUUGAUCUACAUCUCUAUUAUGUCGAGGACUAGUUUAAAAGUGAUUUUCUUCAUAAAAUCAUUUGAAUCUCCUUCAAUAAGACAGUAAAUCUUUUUUAUCCAAAAUCCCUAUAGAGUGGUUGGUAUAACCCUUUAUAUCACAUAAUCUAUUUUGUAUAUUAACGUGUGUGUACAUAUACAUAUACAUAUAUAUGUAUACAUAUGUAUAUAUACACAUCUACAUCCACACACAAAAGGUCAAAUAUGCAAUACUGUGUUCAUUUUGGGAUUCCAUGUAUUAGGAAAAGCAAUAAUGAGUUGGAAAAUGUCCAGAAGAGGAUAAAAAGGAUCAUGGUAUGACAGAAACCAUGCCACAUCAGCAUAAACUUGGGAAGCUUAGCUGGGAGAAGAGAAGACUAUCUUCAAUUAUUUGAAGAGGAAUCAUGGGGACGAGGGAUUAUACCUUUUUCUAGUUAGCAUCACAGAGCAAAAACAGGAUCAGCAUUCAGUAGCUGCAAAGAGGCAGAGCUGGAUACACUUAGUAUAUGUAGUGCUAUAUCUAAAAAAAUCAAAAACAAUCAGAGUCUUUAAAGUAGAAUUCCUGCCCAGGAAGUGGUGAUGAGACCACCAUUAGUGGCUGGAAUCUAUAGGUGAAGGCUGGAUGACCCCUCUUAGAGGAUGGGGCAGACAGCAUUCCUACAGAGACACCUUUUUAGACUAGAUGACUUCAGAGACCCCUAUUAGUUUUUGAGAUUCUGUCAUUCUAUGUCAUAUCUAUGCUACCAAGCUGUAAACUUCUCAAGGUUAGAACUGUAUUAUUCAUCUUUGUAAUCCCAACUGUUUCUAGAAUAUAAAGACACUCAAUAAAUAUCUUUUGAUGAAAAAAAGAAUCAUAAAUGGACAGGUUUUCAGAGUUGGAAGUAUUCUCUGAGAAAUUGCAGUCAAAUUUGUACCCAGAGAGGAACACCAACAAAAUAUAAUCAGUAGCUUUUGCUUGAAGACUUCCAAUAAGGGGAUCUUCAAGGUCUUCAGGAAAAAAAUAUUUUAUUUUUGGAUUGCUUUAAUUGUUAGGAAAUGUUUCCGCAUAUAUUGUCAAUUUUUACCCAGCUUUAACCCUCAUCCUUUGUAGCUGGUCUAUUUUUUAUCAUUUGUAGUGAGGAGAACAGGUCUAAUUCCUUUUCUAUUAAGAGGCAUUUAAAUCUUUGAAGAAAGCUCUCAUAUCUCUCCCCUUUCCCACUGACUCUUUUUGUUCUCAGGUUGAAAAUCUAAGACUUCUUUAUUCAUUUUUUAUAAACCCUUACCUUCCGUCUUGGAGUCAACACUGUAUAUUGGCUCCUAGGCAGAAGAGUGGUAAGGGCUAGGCAAUGUGGGUUAAGUGACUUGCCCAGGGUCACACAGCUGGGGAGUGUCUGAGGCCAGAUUUGAACCUAGGACCUCCUAUCUCUAGGCCUGGCUCUCAAUCCACUGAGCUACCCAGGUGCCCUCGCAGACUUAACUGAUUUUUUUUUAUUUGAAAACUUUUAUUAAUUAAUUAAUUUAGAUUUUUCCCAUGGUUAUAUGAUUCAUGUUCUUUCCCUCCCUUCCUCUCACCCCUCUCCCAUAGCCAACAAGCAAUUUACACUGGGUUUUACAUGUAUCAUUGAAUUUAAUUGAUCUUCUUAAAGGAUGAAUUUGAAACCUUUGCAAUUCUUGUUAAUUUCCCAUUUAAACUACUCACCCUCACCCCACUCUUAGACAUGAAGGAAUGAAGGAGGAACAGUAUAUUUCUAAUAUUAUUUUAAUUCUCCAAAUAGGAUGAAGGUGAGAGGUCAGAAACUUUUCAAUAAUUUCAAUAAUUCGAAGAACUUACCAUUUAUUUUAAAGAUGUAAGAUUGUGAAGGAGCUCUGGGGCGAUCAACAAACAAAUGGCCUUGGUUGACUAGGACUUCCUUUAUCAGUGGCAAUCCAGUUACAACUAUCAUGGGAGUACCAAGCAGCUCAAUGGAGAAAAUAUUUCCAUAUUUCCUGAAACACUGGAAAAAGGUUCUGGGAGGAAAUUCAAGAAAGCUUUUUUGCUAUAUUUCCAAGCUCAAGAUCCAAACUUCAACUGUGGCAAAUUAAGGCUACAAAUACAAGCCAUCUAUGAAGAAACUUCACCUACUUCUCAAAGUAUGCUCCCUAAAAUUUAAGAAAUUUCAAUUAUUAACCUAGAACUUCAGAGUAAACAUGGCUGCAAUAUAAAUAUGAAUUGCUUCCUCUGCCUGGCACCAAACGAAAUAGACUACCUCAAAAGAGCAUAAAAAUCAUCUUUGGAAGAACAGAGGAAAUCUCCAGUAUCCCACAGAAAUGAAGAUACGUGGGGUUUGAACAUUGCCGCACUAUAAGAAGGAGGAAAAGCUUGCAAAAAAACGUGAACUGAGCUGCCCUUCCCCCUCUUCCCUCAUGGAACCAGAGUAGGGGCUCAGAGCACUCACCGGGACAGCGAGUGAGUGAGGAACGUCUCUGCCUGGGGGGGCACACCAGGGUCCUUGGGAUCUAAAGACUGCUAGGAAACGACCUCUCAGGGAGGUUUCACGGGAGAACCCUGCACACUGGCAAGCGCACAGAAAAUGGAACCCCUGCAAACUGUGAACAGUGAGGAGUCUCGAGAGUCUGUAAAAACUGCCUAAGGCCAAAGUGUUGCCCCUCGCUGUAGUGGGGGGGUCAGGCCAGGGUCCCUGGAAGCUGAGAGGGAAUACCAGAGAUCCAUACCUCAGAGCAGUUUCACAGGAGAUUCUUGUGCACUGGUGAGAAGAGAUCAUAGAGCACGGGGGCAGGCACGCUAAGCAUGGGGGAGGGCAUGCUGAGCACAGGGGCAGGUGCGCUAACAAAACUUGGAGGCUCAGAAGAACUAGUCUGAGGCAACCUAAAUCCACAAAAAACCCACCCAUAUCCCCCAGACCUCACCCCAAAAAGGAAAGGGGACAAUAACCACCAAAGGGAUGGCUCACAUGGCCCAAAAUCAAGCCUGCAAGAAGAAAGGGAAAAAAUUGACUAUUGAAAACUUUUAUGGCAGGAGUACCCAAGGAAAAGAAGAGAAAGAGGAUGAAAUCCAAACAAAAUCAAAACAUUCCCCCCAAAAUGAAAAUUAUCCACAAGCUCGGGAAGAAUUCAAAUUGGAGCUUAUCCAAAAGAUGGAAAACUUCUGGAAAGAAAAAUGGGAGAAAGAGAUCAGCAGUCUGAUAGACAAGACUUCACAAUUGGAGAAAGAGCUGGAAGUCUUUAAUAAAAGGGUAGUACAAGCUGAAAAACAAACCCAGUCCCUAAAAACCAGAAAUAAGCAACUGGAAGACAGUGAGCUUUCAAAACAGUAGGAAUCAAUAAAGCAAAGCCAAAAAAUUAAUGAAUUAGAAGAAAACAUAAAAUAUCUCACUGACAAUCUGACAGAUCAGGAAAACAGAGGAAGGAGAGACAACUUGAGAAUCAUUGGUCUGCCCGAAAAACCAGAGAUAAACAAAAACCUCAAUGCUAUACUACAGGAGAUUAUAGAAGAAAAUUGCCCACAUGUUCAGGAGCAAGGGAGCAAAAUAGAAAUAGAAAGGAUUCAUAGAACACCCUCUAUACUAAAUCCCCAAAAGACAACCCCCAGGAAUGUAGUCGCCAAAUUCAAGAGCUUCCAAGCUAAGGAGAAAAUCCUACAAGAAGACAAGAAGAGAAGAUUCAGAUAUAAAGGGGCCCCCAUAUGGAUCACACAUGACUUAGCAGCUAACAUGCUAAGAGACCACAAAGCAUGGAACACAAUAUUUAGAAAGGCAAGAGAGCUGGGUCUCCAACCAAGAAUCAACUACCCAGCAAAACUGACUAUAUAUUUCCAGGGGAAAGUAUGGGCAUUCAACAAAAUAGAAGAUUUCCAAGUAUUUGCAAAGAAAAGACUAGAACUUAGUGGAAAAUAUGACAUCCAAUCACAGAAAGCAAGAGAAACAUGAAAAGGUAAAUAUGAAAGAAAGGGAAAUAGAGAAAAAUCUUAUCUUUUUCUUUAAGUCAAACUCUCUUCUAAAAGGACUACAUUUAUAUCAAUCUAUAUAUAGUAAUAUGUGGGGAAAUGUAUUGUGUAACUCUCAAAAAUUGUAUGCAUCAUAAGAGUAGUUAGAAGAAUCAUGCAUAGCAAAAGAUUGGGGCAUCAAGAAGAUUUGGUGAAAGGGGUGACAAAGAAAGAAAAAGGGAUGGGGGAAUCAUUAAUGAUACUAAGAUUUACUUCAAGAAAUAGGGGGUGGGAACUAAAUACAAUAAUCUUUCCCACACAAAGAUACACAUGGGAAGGGGAGGGGAAGAACUCUCAUAUGAGAAGGAGAGGAAGAAAGCGCGAGAACCUUACUCUCAGUGAAAUCAACUCUGAGAGGGAAAAACAUCUAGAUCCAUUGGGAUCCUGAAUUCUAUCUUAUCCAACAGAGUAAGAGGGAAAGGAACAUUAAGGAGGGGGAAGGGAGUAUAAAAAGGGAGGGAAGGAGAGUGGGUAGGGGAAGGGAACAUAAAAAGGGAGGGUCUAGAAAGGAAAGCAUAUAAAGGUAGGGGACUAGGAGGACUGACCUAAAGUAAAUCACUGUUCCAAAAGGUUAUAGCUAAAGAAUAAAGGUCAGAACUAGGGGAAGAUAUCAAAAUGCCAGGGAAUCCACAAGUGACAAUGAUAACUUUGAAUGUGAAUGGGAUGAACUCACCCAUAAAAUGUAGACAAAUAGCAGAAUGGAUUAGAGCCCAAAACCCUACCAUAUGUUGUCUUCAAGAAACUCGUAUGAGGCGGGUUGAUACUCACAAGGUUAGAAUUAAAGGAUGGAAUAAGACCUUUUAGUCAUCAACUGAUAGAAAGAAGGCAGGAGUUGCAAUCAUGAUAUCUGACAAAGCCAAAGCAAAAAUAGGCCUGUUCAAAAGGGAUAGGGAAGGUAAAUAUAUUCUGUUAAAAUGGAGUAUGGACAUUGAGGAAUUAUCACUAAUCAACAUGUAUGCACCAAAUGGUAUAGUAUCCAAAUUGUUAAUGGAGAAACUAGGAGAACUGAAGGAGGAAAUAGACAGUAAAACCAUAUUAGUGGGAGACUUGAAACAAUCACUAUCAAAUUUAGAUAAAUCAAACCAAAAAAUAAAUAAGAAAGAGGUAAAAGAGGUGAAUGAAAUCUUGGAAAAAUUAGAGUUAAUAGACAUAUGGAGAAAAAUAAAUAGGGACAAAAAGGAAUACACCUUCUUCUUAGCACCACGUGGCACAUUCACAAAAAUAGAUCAUACACUAGGUCACAGAAACAUAGCAUUCAAAUGCAGAAAAGCAGAAAUAAUAAAUGCAACCUUCUCAGAUCACAAGGCAAUAAAAAUAUUGAUCAGUAAGGGUACAUAGAGAGCCAAAUCAAAAAUUAAUUAGAAAUUAAAUAAUAUGAUACUCCAAAAUUGGUUAGUCAGAGAAGAAAUAAUAGAAACAAUUAAUAAUUUCAUUGAGGAAAAUGACAAUGGUGAGACAUCCUUUCAAACCCUAUGGGAUGCAGCCAAAGUGGCACUCAGAGGAAAAUUCAUAUCCUUGAAUGCAUAUAUUAACAAAUUAGGGAGGGCAGAGAUAAAUGAAUUGGAAAGUCAAAUCAAAAAACUUGAAAGCAAACAAAUUAAAAAACCCCAAAAGAAAACCAAACUAGAGAUCCUAAAAAUUAAGGGAGAAAUUGAUAAAAUCGAAAGUGAUAGAACUAUUGAAGUAAUAAACAAGUCUAGAAGCUGGUACUUCGAGAAAACAGACAAAAUAGACAAAGUACUGGUCAAUCUAAUUUUAAAAAAGGAAAGAAGGAAGGCAAAUUAACAGCAUCAAGGAUGAAAAGGGGGACCUUACUUUAAGACAAUCUUUAAAAACUACUUUGCCCAACUAUAUGGCAAUAAAUAUACCAACCUAGGUGGUAUGGAUGAAUAUUUACAAAAAUAUAAAUUGCCUAGACUAACAGGAGAAGAAAUAUAUUUCUUAAAUAAUCCUAUAUCAGAAAAAGAAAUCCAACAGGCCAUCAAGGAACUUCCAAAGGAAAAAAAAAAACAUGACCUGAUAGAUUCACAAGUCAAUUCUAUCAAACAUUCAAAGAACAGCUAAUCCCAAUACUAUACAAACUAUUUGACAUAAUAAGCAAAGAGGGAGUUCAACCAAAUUCCUUUUAUGACACAAACAUGGUACUGAUUCCAAAGCCAGGCAGGCCAAAAACAGAGAAAGAAAAUUAUAGACCAAUCUCCCUAAAGAAUAUAGAUGCAAAAAUCUUAAAUAGUACACUAGCAAAAAGACUCCAGCAAGUGAUCAGAAGAGUCAUUCACCAUGAUCAAGUAGGAUUUAUACUAGGGAUGGAGGGCUGGUUCAAUAUUAGGAAAACCAUCCACAUAAUUGACAAUAUCAACAAGCAAACCAACAAAAAUUGCAUGAUUAUUUCAAAAGAUGCAGAAAAAGCCUUUGAUAACAUACAACACCCAUUCCUAUUAAAAACACUAGAAAGCAUAGGAAUAGAAGGUUCAUUCCUAAAAAUAAUAAACAGUAUAUAUCUAAAACCAUCAGCUAAUAUGAUCUGCAAUGGGGAUAAACUAGAAGCCUUCCCAAUAAGAUCAGGAGUAAAACAAGGAGGCCCAUUAUCACCUCUAUUAUUUGAUAUUGUACUAGAAAACACCAGCAGUAGCAAUUAGAGAAGAAAAAUAAAUUGAAGGCAUUAAAAUAGGAAAAGAGGAGACCAAGUUAUCACUCUUUGUGUAUGACAUGAUGGUCUACUUAAAGAAUCCUAUAGAUUGAACCAAAAAACUAAUCGAAAUAAUCAACAACUUUAGCAAAGUUGCAGGAUACAAAAUAAACUCGCAUAAGUCAUCAGCAUUUCUAUAUAUUUCCAACACAGCUCAGCAGCAAGAACUAGAAAGAGAAAUCCAAUUCAAAAUCUCCUUAGACAAAAUAAAAUACUUAGGAAUCUAUCUCCCGAGACAAACACAGGAACUUUAUGAACACAACUAUAAAACACUCUCCACACAACUAAAAUAGACUUGAACAAUUGGAAAAAACAUUAAUUGCUCAUGGGUACAAUGAUCCAAUAUAAUAAAAAUGACCAUCCUACCCAAACUUAUUUAUCUAUUUAGUGCCAUACCCAUUGAACUUCCGAAAAAUAUUUUUUUACUGAUUUAGAAAAAAACAUAAAAAGUUCAUUUGGAAGAAUAAAGGAUCAAGGAUAUCCAGGGAAAUAAUGAAAAAAAUACAAAGGAAGGGGGCCUUGCAGUCCCAAAUCUCAGACUAUAUUAUAAAGUAGUGUUCAUCAAAACAAUUUGGUACUGGCUAAGAGACAGAAAGGAGGAUCAGUGGAAUCGACUUGGGGUAAAUGGCCUCAGUAAGACAGUCUAUGACAAACCCAGAGAUCCCAGCUUUGGGGACAAAAAUCCACUAUUUCAUAAAAACUGCUUGGAAAAUUGGAGAACAGUGUGGGAGAGAUUAGGUUUGGAUCAACACUUCACACCCUACACCAAGAUAAAUUCAAAAUGGGUGAAUGACUUGAACAUAAAAAGGAAACUAUAAGAAAAUUAGGCCAUCACAGAAUAGUAUACAUGUCAGAACUUUGGGAAGAGAAAGAUUUUAAAGCCAAGCAAGACUUAGAAAGAGUCACAAAAUGCAAAAUAAAUAAUUUGGACUCUAUCAAAUUAAAAAGGUUUUGUACAAACAAAACCAUUGUAAUCAAAAUCAGAAGGAAAGCAACAAAUUGGGAAACAAUCCUCAUUAAAACCUCAGACAAAGGUUUAAUUACUCAAAUUUACAAGGAGCUAAAUCAAUUGUACAAAAAAUCAAGCCAUUCUCCAAUUGAUAAAUGGGCAUGGGACAUGAAUUGUCAGUCUUCAUAUAAAGCAAUCAAAACUAUUAAUAGGCACAUGAGAAAGUAUUCUCAAUCUCUUAUAAUCAGAGAGAUGCAAAUUAAAACAACUCUGAGGUAUCACCUCACACCUAGAAGAUUGGCUAACAUGACAGCAAAGGAAAUUAAUGAAUGUUGGAGGGGAUGUUGCAAAGUAGGGACCCUAAUCCACUGCUGGUGGGGUUGUGAACUGAUCCAACCAUUCUGGAGCGCAAUUUGGAUCUAUGCCCAAAGGGCGAUAAAAGAAUGUCUGCCCUAUGAUUCAGCUAUAGCACUGCUGGGUUUGUACCCCAAAGAGGUAAUAAGGAAAAAGACUUGUACAAGAAUAUUCAUAGCUGCGCUCUUUGUGGUGGCCAAAAGUUGGAAAAUGAGGGGAUGCCCUUUGGUUGGAGAAUGGCUGAAUAAAUUGUGGUAUAUGCUGGUGAUGGAAUACAAUUGUGCUCAAAGGAAUAAUGAACUGGAGGAAUUCCAUGUAAACUGGAACGAUCUCCAGGAACUGAAUCAGAAUGAGGAGCAGAACCAGGAGAACAUUGUACACAGAGACUGACACACUUGGUAUAAUUGAAGGUAAUGCACUUCUCCAUUAGGGUCAAUGCAAUGUCCCUGAACAAUCUGCAGGGAUCUAGGAGAAAAAACACUAUCCACAAGCAGAGGACAAACUGUGGGAGUCAAAACACCAAGGAAAAGCAACUGCUUGCCUACAGGGGUUGAGGAGACACGUCUGAGGAGAGACUCUAAAUGAACACUCUUAACGCAAAUACUAACAACAUGGAAAUGGGUUAGAAUCAAGAAUACUUGUGAUACUCAGUGGAAUCGCGCAUCACUAUGGGAUAGAUGGGGGGAAGGGGGGUAGAAAGUGAUCUUUGUCUGCAAUGAAUAAUGCUCGGAAAUGACCAAAUAAAAUAAUGUUAAAAAUUA
Molecule: long non-coding RNA, 14761 nt
Organism: Monodelphis domestica (gray short-tailed opossum)
Lineage: Eukaryota; Metazoa; Chordata; Mammalia; Didelphimorphia; Didelphidae
Source: RefSeq, a predicted model, not a curated record